Molecule: long non-coding RNA, 221 nt
Filed under: Trifolium pratense (red clover)
Lineage: Eukaryota; Viridiplantae; Streptophyta; Magnoliopsida; Fabales; Fabaceae
Description: long non-coding RNA (TPRA_LNC003239)
Source: RNAcentral
GACGAAUACGUUUUCUAUCCAUUGCACACACAUUUUGAUACUACAAGCACUUAGCUCUAAACCUUUGAAUUUCAUUCACAUCAAAAAUACUUUGAAGUCUAUAUCAACUAAUUGUAUUUUAGCUCUAAGGUUUCAUUAGUGUUUUGUAUUAUCACAACAAUUUUUAUUUAUUCCUUAGAUUGAGAAGUCUCUUGAUUGGUGCUUGAGCAUUGUGUAGAAGU